This 253-nucleotide ribosomal RNA is filed under the name uncultured bacterium. RNAcentral describes it as "partial 16S ribosomal RNA". It matches the Rfam family "Bacterial small subunit ribosomal RNA", at positions 524 to 776 of the family's 1533-position model. The record is from RNAcentral.
UACGGGGGGGGCAAGCGUUGUUCGGAAUUACUGGGCGUAAAGGGCGCGUAGGCGGCACAGCAAGUCGGGAGUGAAAGCCCGGGGCUCAACCCCGGAACGGCUUUCGAAACUGCUGAGCUAGAGUGCGGAAGGGGCAGCCGGAAUUCCCAGUGUAGCGGUGAAAUGCGUAGAUAUUGGGAAGAACACCUGAGGCGAAGGCGGGUUGCUGGGCCGACACUGACGCUGAGGCGCGAAAGCCAGGGGAGCAAACGGG